RNAcentral lists this ribosomal RNA (498 nucleotides) under uncultured bacterium. RNAcentral describes it as "bacterial SSU rRNA". It matches the Rfam family "Bacterial small subunit ribosomal RNA", at positions 21 to 507 of the family's 1533-position model. The record is from RNAcentral.
GGCUCAGGAUGAACGCUAGCUACAGGCUUAACACAUGCAAGUCGAGGGGCAGCAUGUCGGUUGCUUGCAACCGAUGAUGGCGACCGGCGCACGGGUGAGUAACGCGUAUCCAACCUACCCUUGUCCAUCGGAUAACCCCGUCGAAAAGGCGGCCUAACACGAUAUGCGGUUCUCAGCAGGCAUCUAACGAGAACGAAAUGUGAAGGAGAAGGAUGGGGAUGCGUCUGAUUAGCUUGUUGGCGGGGUAACGGCCCACCAAGGCGACGAUCAGUAGGGGUUCUGAGAGGAAGGUCCCCCACAUUGGAACUGAGACACGGUCCAAACUCCUACGGGAGGCAGCAGUGAGGAAUAUUGGUCAAUGGACGGGAGUCUGAACCAGCCAAGUAGCGUGCAGGACGACGGCCCUAUGGGUUGUAAACUGCUUUUAUAGGGGGAUAAAGUGUGCCCACGUGUGGCAUAUUGCAGGUACCCUAUGAAUAAGGACCGGCUAAUUCCGUG